AGAGUUUGAUCAUGGCUCAGGAUGAACGCUAGCUACAGGCUUAACACAUGCAAGUCGAGGGGCAGCAUGGCCUAUCUUUCGGGAUAGGCUGAUGGCGACCGGCGCACGGGUGAGUAACGCGUAUCCAACCUUCCCUUUACUGGGGUUCAGCCCGUCGAAAGGCGGAUUAAUCCCCCAUGUUCUCCGUCCCGGACAUCUGUGUCGGAGCAAAGAUUUAUCGGUAAAGGAUGGGGAUGCGUCCGAUUAGCUUGUUGGCGGGGUAACGGCCCACCAAGGCAUCGAUCGGUAGGGGUUCUGAGAGGAAGGUCCCCCACACUGGAACUGAGACACGGUCCAGACUCCUACGGGAGGCAGCAGUGAGGAAUAUUGGUCAAUGGCCGCAAGGCUGAACCAGCCAAGUAGCGUGAGGGAAGACUGCCCUAUGGGUUGUAAACCUCUUUUAUGCGGGGAUAAAGGCGUCCACGUGUGGAUGUUUGCAGGUACCGCAUGAAUAAGGACCGGCUAAUUCCGUGCCAGCAGCCGCGGUAAUACGGAAGGUCCGGGCGUUAUCCGGAUUUAUUGGGUUUAAAGGGAGCGU
Molecule: ribosomal RNA, 577 nt
Filed under: uncultured bacterium
Lineage: Bacteria
Description: bacterial SSU rRNA
Rfam family: Bacterial small subunit ribosomal RNA
Source: RNAcentral